This is a long non-coding RNA of Gigantopelta aegis, 587 nucleotides long. RefSeq lists it as uncharacterized. The transcript has 3 exons. The record is from RefSeq and is a predicted model, not a curated record. NCBI's taxonomy places the organism in Eukaryota, Metazoa, Mollusca, Gastropoda, Neomphalida, Peltospiridae.
CCAACCUCUGCCAGACAACCGUGAUGAAGGGGAAUUCGCCGUACAUCGACUCAAGAUGCAGGAGGGACACAACGCAGUUUGCAUUACCAUCCGCCGGGACGGAAGAUAUAACCAAGGACUGCUACUAUCGGAGAUGGACAACCCGACAUUACAUCGCGUACUGAAAACCGUCGCGGGGACACACUACCGAGCCAUCACCAAGGCCGUAGCAGCCUCCGCCUACCGGCAGUUCCUCCCGCAGCUUGAGACCACCGAGUACAUCGGAUCACCCUAGACGCCAACCUUUGCUAGGACAGGUAGAUUGUAACGGCGCUGUAUCAGCAGGAAGACUGAAACGAGACUUGAUUGACACCACGAACCAGACAACCGUGCUCGAAAGAACUUUUUACGUGACGUAUCCAGAUAUAUUAGAACUUCAAAACGUGACGAAUACGGAUGGGCGUCUCGGGAAACUGGAGUGUGAGACCAGUGCGGCCAUGAAGGGAGGUCUUGGGGCGUUAGCCCUAGUUAUCGUUCUUUUGCUGCUCGUCUUGUUUAUUCAGUGGCGCGACAAUUGAAGUAAACAAGAGUAAUCUCCCCUACCUUCC